CAACGCCGUCGAGCCGUUGAAACUGGCGUUCUUGAGUGGGCGAGAAGUAUGCGGAAUGCGUGGUGUAGCGGUGAAAUGCAUAGAUAUCACGCAGAACUCCGAUUGCGAAGGCAGCAUACCGGCGCCCUACUGACGCUGAGGCACGAAAGCGUGGGUAUCGAACAGGAUUAGAUACCCUGGUAGUCCACGCAGUAAACGAUGAAUGCUAACUGUCCGGUGCGAGUGAGCGCUGGGCGGUACAGCGAAAGCGUUAAGCAUUCCACCUGGGGAGUACGCCGGCAACGGUGAAACUCAAAGGAAUUGACGGGGGCCCGCACAAGCGGAGGAACAUGUGGUUUAAUUCGAUGAUACGCGAGGAACCUUACCCGGGCUCAAACGCAGGCUGACGGGUCCCGAAAGGGGCCUUUCUUCGGACAUUCUGCGAGGUGCUGCAUGGUUGUCGUCAGCUCGUGCCGUGAGGUGUCGGCUUAAGUGCCAUAACGAGCGCAACCCCUGUCCACAGUUGCCAGCAGGUAAAGCUGGGGACUCUGUGGAGACUGCCGGCGCAAGCUGCGAGGAAGGCGGGGAUGACGUCAAAUCAGCACGGCCCUUACGUCCGGGGCGACACACGUGUUACAAUGGCAGGUACAGCGGGAUGCCACGGGGCGACCCGGCGCUGAACCCGAAAACCUGUCUCAGUUCGGAUUGGAGUCUGCAACCCGACUCCAUGAAGCUGGAUUCGCUAGUAAUCGCGCAUCAGCCACGGCGCGGUGAAUACGUUCCCGGGCCUUGUACACACCGCCCGUCAAGCCAUGGAAGCCGGGGGUACCUGAAGUGCGUGACCGCGAGGAGCGCCCUAGGGUAAAACCGGUGACUGGGGCUAAGUCGUAACAAGGUAGCCGUAA
RNAcentral lists this ribosomal RNA (884 nucleotides) under uncultured bacterium. RNAcentral describes it as "bacterial SSU rRNA". It matches the Rfam family "Bacterial small subunit ribosomal RNA", at positions 610 to 1505 of the family's 1533-position model. The record is from RNAcentral.